This is a long non-coding RNA of Megalops cyprinoides (Indo-Pacific tarpon), 318 nucleotides long. RefSeq lists it as uncharacterized. The record is from RefSeq and is a predicted model, not a curated record. The transcript is spliced from 3 exons. NCBI's taxonomy places the organism in Eukaryota, Metazoa, Chordata, Actinopteri, Elopiformes, Megalopidae.
GCGCGGUGUUACUGGGUCCUCUCUCCGCAGUGGACUUUGUGUCUGCGAUUCUGGCGUCGAUACACAAUCGGCAGAUAGAAUGGAAUUUUAUUGGCUUUGUCUUGUUCGCCUGUCCUGGGUUUCUCAUGGUGUGCUCCCUGCUGUGCAGCGUUGUCCUUGCUCAGCUGAUUAAGAGGGCUCGUUGGGAGGCUGCUGUCCGAUUCUCUGCCUGAAACUGGCACAGCCACGCCCACCAUCUUCCUGCUCCAAUCAGAGCCUUGCAUCAAACAGCAAAUGUUAAACUUCAAAUCGCAGCUUUAGAAAUCAAUGCUACUUUUA